GACGAACGCUGGCGGCGUGCUUAACACAUGCAAGUCGAACGGAAAGGCCCUGCUUUUGUGGGGUGCUCGAGUGGCGAACGGGUGAGUAACACGUGAGUAACCUGCCCUUGACUUUGGGAUAACUUCAGUAAACUGGGGCUAAUACCGGAUAGGAGCUCCUGCUGCAUGGUGGGGGUUGGAAAGUUUCGGCGGUUGGGGAUGGACUCGCGGCUUAUCAGCUUGUUGGUGGGGUAGUGGCUUACCAAGGCUUUGACGGGUAGCCGGCCUGAGAGGGUGACCGGCGACAUUGGGACUGAGAUACGGCCCAGACUCCUACGGGAGGCAGCAGUGGAGAAUAUUGCACAAUGGGCGGGAGCCUGAUGCAGCAACGCCGCGUGCGGGAUGACGGCCUUCGGGUUGUAAACCGCUUUCGCCUGUGACGAAGCGUGAGUGACGGUAAUGGGUAAAGAAGCACCGGCUAACUACGUG
RNAcentral lists this ribosomal RNA (468 nucleotides) under uncultured bacterium. RNAcentral describes it as "partial 16S ribosomal RNA". It matches the Rfam family "Bacterial small subunit ribosomal RNA", at positions 28 to 507 of the family's 1533-position model. The record is from RNAcentral.